GAUGAACGCUGGCGGCGUGCCUAAUACAUGCAAGUCGAGCGAACGGACGAGAAGCUUGCUUCUCUGAUGUUAGCGGCGGACGGGUGAGUAACACGUGGAUAACCUACCUAUAAGACUGGGAUAACUUCGGGAAACCGGAGCUAAUACCGGAUAAUAUUUUGAACCGCAUGGUUCAAAAGUGAAAGGCGGUCUUGCUGUCACUUAUAGAUGGAUCCGCGCUGCAUUAGCUAGUUGGUAAGGUAACGGCUUACCAAGGCAACGAUGCAUAGCCGACCUGAGAGGGUGAUCGGCCACACUGGAACUGAGACACGGUCCAGACUCCUACGGGAGGCAGCAGUAGGGAAUCUUGCGCAAUGGGCGAAAGCCUGACGGAGCAACGCCGCGUGAGUGAUGAAGGUCUUCGGAUCGUAAAACUCUGUUAUUAGGGAAGAACAUAUGUGUAAGUAACUGUGCACAUCUUGACGGUACCUAAUCAGAAAGCCACGGCUAACUACGUG
This 497-nucleotide ribosomal RNA is filed under the name uncultured bacterium. RNAcentral describes it as "partial 16S ribosomal RNA". It matches the Rfam family "Bacterial small subunit ribosomal RNA", at positions 28 to 507 of the family's 1533-position model. The record is from RNAcentral.